AGUGAACGCUGGCGGUAUGCCUAACACAUGCAAGUCGAACGGCAGCACAGUAAGAGCUUGCUCUUACGGGUGGCGAGUGGCGGACGGGUGAGGAAUACAUCGGAAUCUACUUUUUCGUGGGGGAUAACGUCGGGAAACUUACGCUAAUACCGCAUACGACCUACGGGUGAAAGCAGGGGAUCUUCGGACCUUUCGCUAUUGAAUGAGCCGAUGUCGGAUUAGCUAGUUGGCGGGGUAAAGGCCCACCACGGCGACGAUCCGUAGCUGGUCUGAGAGGAUGAUCAGACACACUGGAACUGAGACACGGUCCAGACUCCUACGGGAGGCAGCAGUGGGGAAUAUUGGACAAGGGGCGCAAGCCUGAUCCAGCCAUACCGCGUGGGUGAAGAAGGCCUUCGGGUUGUAAAGCCAUUUUGUUGGGAAAGAAAAGCAGCAGGUUAAUACCCCGCUGUUCUGACGGUACCCAAAGAAUAAGCACCGGCUAACUUCGUG
Molecule: ribosomal RNA, 492 nt
Filed under: uncultured bacterium
Lineage: Bacteria
Description: partial 16S ribosomal RNA
Rfam family: Bacterial small subunit ribosomal RNA
Source: RNAcentral